RNAcentral lists this microRNA precursor (100 nucleotides) under Marmota monax (woodchuck). Lineage: Eukaryota; Metazoa; Chordata; Mammalia; Rodentia; Sciuridae. The record is from RNAcentral.
AGUGGAAUUGUUAGGUCAUAUGUUAACUCAGUUUAACAUUUGAGAAAUUGUAAAAAUAAAUUUCAAAGUCAUUGCAUCAUUUUACAUCUCUACUAGUAAU